ACAGGUUGGAAGAAUUGAGAAACAGAACGAUUUCAUGAGGAUGAUUUACUGCCGAGAAAAUCCAGAGGCAUCACUAAAUUCUGGAAAAACAAGUAACAAAUCAUGUACUGAAGUGUAAUGAUUGGUGCCACUGCCUCACUCAGCAUCUAUGUCAUUACAUUUUGCCAUUACCCAGGGGAUUUUACUGCUGCUGCAAAAUUCUCCAGCUGAAAUUCAUGGAGAGUCCCUACUGACUUAAUUUUGUACAUCUGAGCCCUCCCUUUUCAAUAGAAGAUAUAGUCAGUUCAUCAAGGAAGAGGCAUUCCAAAGCAGAACAAGCACACCUCUGAAGGGACUGUGACCCAUGAAUAACACUUUACUUGAGCUGGUACUCCUCUGAAAUUACUGCAGCCUGUGGAGAACCAGUCCUGGAGCACAGGAAAAAUGCAAAAAGGAAGAAGACAAAAAAAGAAACUAUGUCUUGACCCCAACCCACUGUGCUGCAGAUACUGAGAGAGUUGUUUGCAUGGAAGCAGAGCCUGGCAAUGAAGCUAAACCUGGGAAUGUGGCAAGAAAAGUCCCAGAUGCGUGGUUUUUCAUGACAGUUUCCUGGUGAGAAGGACAAGUGGAUGGAAGGCUGGAUGGAAGGCUUCAGUGGAAAUUUGAGCCUGCAAUGAGUGAAACUGAGCUGAUGAGGGAAGUAAGGCAAAGUGAAAAAUCAAUUCCCCAAAAACCCACGUAAAAGUCAUUAGAAAAAAACUAAAAGUCAAAACAAAUGCAAAUCAGGAGUUCACUUGGUAAAAGAAGCAAGAAGGAUGAGGCUUAUAAAAAUUAAGAGUAACAAAGAACACAACACCUUUUGAAAUGGAGCUCAAAAAAAAAAAAAGAGAUACUGAGAUACAGAGGUGAAAAAGCAGGACAGGGUCAGUCUCUGAAUCUUUCCUUUUAGUGGGAUUUUUCAUGUUUUCCAUAUCAGUGACCUUUUAUAAGCAUUAUGUUUGUAUUUUCCAGAAGGUAAAG
This is a long non-coding RNA of Passer domesticus (house sparrow), 999 nucleotides long. RefSeq lists it as uncharacterized. NCBI's taxonomy places the organism in Eukaryota, Metazoa, Chordata, Aves, Passeriformes, Passeridae. The record is from RefSeq and is a predicted model, not a curated record. The transcript has 6 exons.